GACAAUUGGUGUCUCUGAGUCGUGAAAAGAGGGUCGAGGGCGAGGUGCUGGGUAGAUAGCCAGGAAAGAAGUCUAGGCGGGUAGGCAGACUAGGAGCAUCAACCGACUGUGGCCAACACUCCGACGUCUGACUAUCGACAAGAGUUGGGCGUAGUGUCCUUCUCUUAAACUAAAUGUCAUAUUAUUUUAUCUCUCUCUCUCUCUCUCUCUCUCCUCUUGCCAGUAGCCUCACAGGACCACUUGUGAGUAACCUCCUUACAUCUCCACUCUUCCUACCUACAGUGUAGUCUCAGCAUACCACAGAACAGUUAUCAUCAUCAAAAAACUAAACACAAGAAGCACUGCAGAAGAACCAGUGAGGAAGAGACUGACUAUCAUAAGACUCACUCGACUAAAAGAAAUGUUUCUUGAAAGGGAGGAGACUAGGCUUUGAUGAGUUGAAGAAUUUAGUAGUGGACAGUUAUCUUUAUUAUUAUUAUUAAUUUUUUUGAAUGACCUUUUGUUAAAAAUAGUUAGCCUAUGCAAACAAAUGGAAA
This is a long non-coding RNA of Amphimedon queenslandica, 536 nucleotides long. RefSeq lists it as uncharacterized. The transcript has 3 exons. The record is from RefSeq and is a predicted model, not a curated record. NCBI's taxonomy places the organism in Eukaryota, Metazoa, Porifera, Demospongiae, Haplosclerida, Niphatidae.